UCCUUCUUAUAUUAAAAAUAUGAGGCCUGGGUUUUUAUAAAAAUAAUAUGUGACUAGUUCAAGAAUCUUUAUUAUCUAAUUUGACGCCUUAAUACAUUAAUGUUUUUUUUGUGACGCUAGCCUAGUUUAUAACAUGAACUUGUCAACCUAUGGACGCAACUCACAGGAUACAUUAACAUUUCAUGAUCCUGAAGAAACAAAUGAAUCGAUUGGUGGUGAUACUCAGGGAACUGAUUUUGAUUUCACCGAUUUUACAUUAUCUACAUUGACCCAAAGGCAAUGUUCUCAACCAAUUACUGGGGCUGGACCAUCAGUAACAUCAUCAGGAGAUAAAGAUAACUCAGCUAGAAACCUUGUUGGUACAUCUCUACUACGACAGCCAACUAGAUCAACCAAAUGGAAAGAAAAAUCAAUUCAAAUCAAGACCUUGGGAGGUGGACAUUUCAGAUUUUUUACUUGGGUACCUGCAAAUGACGAUGAAGAUAACGAUUCUAAUUCAACACAACAAUCUCAACUUCAACUGGAUAUGAGUGAAUAUAUGACUGGUAUCAAGAAAAUACCCAAAGAGGGUAUACCAGGAGUUGAUCUAUCUGAUCCUAAACAAUUAGCUGAAUUCGCAAAAAUGAAACCCCGUAAACCUUCAUCGGAUGACGAUACUCGGACCAUUGGUUGCCCACAUAAAGGCUGUUCGAAAAUGUUUCGAGAUAAUAGUGCGAUGAGAAAACAUUUACAUACUCAUGGUCCUCGUGUUCAUGUUUGUGCUGAAUGUGGUAAAGCAUUUGUUGAAUCAAGUAAACUUAAAAGACACCAAUUGGUACACACUGGAGAAAAACCUUUUCAAUGUACAUUCGAAGGAUGUGGAAAAAGAUUUUCCCUAGAUUUUAACUUGAGAACGCACGUAAGAAUACAUACAGGAGAUCGACCUUAUGUUUGUCCUUUCGAUGAUUGUUCAAAAAAGUUUGCCCAAUCAACAAACCUUAAAUCACAUAUUUUAACACAUGCCAAGGCUAAAGCUAAUCAACAACAAAGAAUAACAACAAUGGAAAUACCAAUAUCAUCACCAGCCUCAUCAGUCUCAACGAAUAUGAUCCCAGACGUUGGAACGGAGUGUUUUGUUAUCGCAGCGCCCGAUUUACUCAAUUAGAUUAUUAAAUUUUUUUGAGUGUUUCAUAUAAUAAAAUAAUAUCAUCGUAAAUUGUCAUCUUCCUUUGCCUUGUCACAACAGCCAAUUUUCCUCCUUUUCUUUCUUUCACUUGUUCUUUUCUCAAACAAACUUCAUCAAUCUCUGUUCUUACGGAAAACUUUAAGGGCUAAUAUUUUCACCAUCAUCCAUCAAGUUUCUUCAUAUGAAAAAUACCUUUUCGCAGAAAAAGACAGAAGUAUUUAAUUCAUUUGCAUUAUUUCAAAAUAAAUAAAUGUGCGCUCACGAGUUUUGCAAAUACAGAAAA
Tetranychus urticae (two-spotted spider mite) is the source of this 1448-nucleotide non-coding RNA. NCBI's taxonomy places the organism in Eukaryota, Metazoa, Arthropoda, Arachnida, Trombidiformes, Tetranychidae. The record is from RefSeq and is a predicted model, not a curated record.